GAUUGUGUAGCAUAAGUAGUAAUGCGUCAGACUGCAACUCUGAUGAAAACGGUGCAAGUCCGUUCACAAUCUCCA
This 75-nucleotide transfer RNA is filed under the name Faucicola osloensis. RNAcentral's name for it is "tRNA-Cys". It matches the Rfam family "tRNA". Rfam says of the family: Transfer RNA (tRNA) molecules are approximately 80 nucleotides in length. Their secondary structure includes four short double-helical elements and three loops (D, anti-codon, and T loops). The record is from RNAcentral. Lineage: Bacteria; Pseudomonadati; Pseudomonadota; Gammaproteobacteria; Moraxellales; Moraxellaceae.